RNAcentral lists this unclassified non-coding RNA (210 nucleotides) under uncultured Basidiomycota. RNAcentral's name for it is "sequence contains ITS1". Lineage: Eukaryota; Fungi; Basidiomycota. The record is from RNAcentral.
UUGAAUGUUUGAAGUAGUUGAGCUGGUCUUUACAGACAAGUGCUUGCUACUUCUAUUCAUCUCAUCCACCUGUGCACUCAUUGUAGAACUCUGCAGAACGUCUUAUGUUAACUCUGAGACAAGUAAAGCGGGCUUCUAUGUCUUUAUACACUCUAUGAAUGUCUUGAAUGUCUUUUAUUGGGACUUGAUUGGCCCUUUUAAAACUUUAUA